GACGAACGCUGGCGGCGUGCUUAACACAUGCAAGUCGAACGGAAAGGCCCUGCUUUUGUGGGGUGCUCGAGUGGCGAACGUGUGAGUAACACGUGAGUAACCUUCCCUUGACUUUGGGAUAACUUCAGGAAACUGGGGCUAAUACCGGAUAGGAGCUCCUGAUGCAUGGUGGGGGUUGGAAAGUUUCGUCGGUUGUGGAUGGACUCGCGGCUUAUCAGCUUGUUGGUGGGGUAGUGGCUUACCAAGGCUUUGAUGGGUAGCCGGCCUGAGAGGAUGACCAGGCACACGGGAAGUGAGACACGGUCCAGACUACGACGGGACGAAGCAGUGGGGAAUAUUGAACAGUGGGCGAAAGCCGGGCCCAGCCAGGGCGAGUGUGUGAAGAAGGUCUUCGGAUUGUAAAGCACGUGAAUUUGGGAAGAAGGGCAGUAAGUUAAUACGUUGCUGUUGUGACGGUAGCAGCAGAAUAAGCACCGGCUAACUUCGUG
This 488-nucleotide ribosomal RNA is filed under the name uncultured bacterium. RNAcentral describes it as "partial 16S ribosomal RNA". It matches the Rfam family "Bacterial small subunit ribosomal RNA", at positions 28 to 507 of the family's 1533-position model. The record is from RNAcentral.